ACGUAGGUGGCAAGCGUUGUCCGGAUUUACUGGGCGUAAAGAGCGCGCAGGCGGUCGUUCAAGUCGCGUGUGAAAGCCCCCGGCUCAACUGGGGAGGGUCACGCGAUACUGAUCGACUCGAAGGCAGGAGAGGGUAGUGGAAUUCCCGGUGUAGUGGUGAAAUGCGUAGAUAUCGGGAGGAACACCAGUGGCGAAGGCGACUACCUGGCCUGUUCUUGACGCUGAGGCGCGAAAGCUAGGGGAGCAAACGGGA
Molecule: ribosomal RNA, 253 nt
Filed under: uncultured prokaryote
Description: partial 16S ribosomal RNA
Rfam family: Bacterial small subunit ribosomal RNA
Source: RNAcentral